This is a non-coding RNA of Lactarius sanguifluus, 73 nucleotides long. The record is from the annotation of a GenBank genome assembly. NCBI's taxonomy places the organism in Eukaryota, Fungi, Basidiomycota, Agaricomycetes, Russulales, Russulaceae.
GCCCGUUUAGCUCAGUGGUAGAGCGCAGUCACUCGUAAUGAUGAGGUCGGUUGUUCGAUCCAGCCAGUGGGCA